GGUAAAAUAGUUUAAUUAAUAAAAUAGUAAAUUGUAAAUUUAAAGAAAAAAAUUACCU
RNAcentral lists this transfer RNA (58 nucleotides) under Gnathostomula armata. RNAcentral describes it as "tRNA-Tyr". The record is from RNAcentral. Lineage: Eukaryota; Metazoa; Gnathostomulida; Bursovaginoidea; Gnathostomulidae.